This 271-nucleotide ribosomal RNA is filed under the name uncultured bacterium. Its description in RNAcentral is "partial 16S ribosomal RNA". It matches the Rfam family "Bacterial small subunit ribosomal RNA", at positions 524 to 794 of the family's 1533-position model. The record is from RNAcentral.
UACGGAGGGUGCGAGCGUUAAUCGGAAUUACUGGGCGUAAAGGGCGCGUAGGCGGCCGAUCAAGUCAGAUGUGAAAGCCCUGGGCUCAACCUGGGAACUGCAUUCGAUACUGUCGAGCUAGAGUGUGGGAGAGGGUGGUGGAAUUCCCGGUGUAGCGGUGAAAUGCGUAGAUAUCGGGAGGAACAUCAGUGGCGAAGGCGACCGCCUGGCCCAACACUGACGCUGAGGUGCGAAAGCGUGGGUAGCAAACAGGAUUAGAAACCCUGGUAGU